CCACUUCAUUUGACAGUUCGACAUCAACAAUGUCGGAACGCCAGUUGUUGCUGCUUUGAAGAGAAAACAUUUCAAGCUUGCUUCCUGCUAAAAUCACAUCUAACUACUUAACGAACUUCAGACGUGAGCAAUAGGAAAACAUCUGAGGGUGUCAUUUUGUUAAAAGAGUCUUAUUUCGCUAAGCAGGCAAGUCUGUUUGCAGCCGCUUCCAAUUUUCAAUGUAAUGAGGGCUGAUGAUCGCUUAGAAAUUGGGGUUAAAAAAAAAAAAAAA
Syngnathus acus (greater pipefish) is the source of this 271-nucleotide long non-coding RNA. RefSeq lists it as uncharacterized. The record is from RefSeq and is a predicted model, not a curated record. Lineage: Eukaryota; Metazoa; Chordata; Actinopteri; Syngnathiformes; Syngnathidae. The transcript has 2 exons.